This 1106-nucleotide ribosomal RNA is filed under the name uncultured bacterium. RNAcentral's name for it is "bacterial SSU rRNA". It matches the Rfam family "Bacterial small subunit ribosomal RNA", at positions 1 to 1371 of the family's 1533-position model. The record is from RNAcentral.
UAGCCGCGAUAUAGCUCUUCCGAGAGAUUUGAUACACUUUUAGUUAGGCAUCGGACCUAGCUGUGUAGGUACGCUUCAGUCUCAAGUUAGGAUCGAAGGGAUGCCCCCACUGUACUGGACGACAGUUCUACGGAGCACAGUAGAUUUGUCAUGGGGCAGCUGACAGCAUGCGGUGCAGAAGACGCCCACGGGUGUACUGCUUUGUACGAUAACUGAUCGUGAUCAGCUGAUGUACGUAGAUAGAUCGCUACUCGUGCAGCAGCGCGUAAUACGGAGGAUCAAGCGUAUCCGGAUUUAUGGGUUUAAAGGGUGCGUAGGCGGUUCUUUAAGUCAGGGUGAAAGACGGUAGCUUAACUAUCGCAGUGCCUUUGAUACUGAAGAACUUGAAUACACUUGAGGUAGGCAGAAUGUGACAAGUAGCGGUGAAAUGCAUAGAUAUGUCACAGAACACCAAUUGCGAAGGCAGCUUACUAAAGUGUUAUUGACGCUGAGGCACGAAAGCGUGGGGAUCAAACAGGAUUAGAUACCCUGGUAGUCCACGCCCUAAACGAUGAAUACUCGAUGUUGGCGAUAUACGGUCAGCGUCUAAGCGAAAGCGUUAAGUAUUCCACCUGGGGAGUACGCCCGCAAGGGUGAAACUCAAAGGAAUUGACGGGGGCCCGCACAAGCGGAGGAGCAUGUGGUUUAAUUCGAUGAUACGCGAGGAACCUUACCCGGGCUUGAAAGUUAGUGAAUGAUUCAGAGACGAAUCAGUCCUUCGGGACACGAAACUAGGUGCUGCAUGGCUGUCGUCAGCUCGUGCCGUGAGGUGUUGGGUUAAGUCCCGCAACGAGCGCAACCCCUGUGAAUAGUUACCAGCACGUAAUGGUGGGGACUCUAUUCAGACUGCCUAUGCAAAUAGAGAGGAAGGAGGGGACGACGUCAAGUCAUCAUGGCCCUUACGUCCGGGGCUACACACGUGCUACAAUGGAUGGUACAGCGGGCAGCUACCUGGCAACAGGAUGCCAAUCUCGUAAAGCCAUUCACAGUUCGGAUCGGGGUCUGCAACUCGACCCCGUGAAGUUGGAUUCGCUAGUAAUCGCAUAUCAGCAAGAAGCGGUACGGUC